Bactrocera latifrons is the source of this 438-nucleotide long non-coding RNA. RefSeq lists it as uncharacterized. The transcript is spliced from 3 exons. NCBI's taxonomy places the organism in Eukaryota, Metazoa, Arthropoda, Insecta, Diptera, Tephritidae. The record is from RefSeq and is a predicted model, not a curated record.
GUUUCAGUCGUUCGCGCAAAUUCAAACGACUGCUGCUGCCCUGUGGCGCUGAUGAAGAUGUUGACGGUGUCUGUAAGGAAUCACUUCAAAUGAUGAGGUCAAUGUCCUUUCUUCAACAAAGACUUUUCACAAGCUAAGAAUGUCAAAAAGAAGUUUAUGUAUAUAAUUACAAGCAAACGGUAAAGUGGUGCAUUAAGAAAAAAAUAUAUAUUUAAUAGUUUGAAAUUUACUUUAUAACACCACUUGAUACCACAGUGAUUGCUAUCGUCUAUAAAUAAAAUGUCAUCAAAGUCAAUUAAAGGUCAACAAUUCAAUAGCAUAUCACUGUCCAUUUUUAUAAAAUUUGAAAUUCAAAUAUUUUUUGGUGGUUCUUACUGACUUUGGUUUCGGUAGCAUUAGAAAAACUUGGAUUGAUUUUCGCCGGAGCAGUAGUGCAAU